GUUAAGGAGAAUGUUGUCUGGUUCGUGACCAUAUAUCCUUCAUCAUAUAAAUGAUCUCGGACCAGGCUUCAUUCCCCUCAAC
Molecule: non-coding RNA, 82 nt
Organism: Solanum tuberosum (potato)
Lineage: Eukaryota; Viridiplantae; Streptophyta; Magnoliopsida; Solanales; Solanaceae
Source: Rfam